UGAUGAUUUAUUCUACAAGGA
Caenorhabditis elegans is the source of this 21-nucleotide non-coding RNA. Lineage: Eukaryota; Metazoa; Nematoda; Chromadorea; Rhabditida; Rhabditidae. The record is from Ensembl.